GAUGAAGAACGCAGCGAAAUGCGAUAAGUAAUGUGAAUUGCAGAAUUCAGUGAAUCAUCGAAUCUUUGAACGCACAUUGCGCCCAUUAGUAUUCUAGUGGGCAUGCCUGUUCGAGCGUCAUUAAGUCCACUUAAGCUCUGCUUAGUGUUGGGAACCUACAUCUCGGUUUACUACUCGUAGUUACCCUGUAGUUCCUUAAAGACAUCGGCGGAGUUGCAAUAUCUCUGAGCUUAGUAAUUUCUCCAAGCUUCUGGGCCGUUGUAACCCCCGCCGUAAAACCUUUUACUUCGGUAAUAUUUUAAUGGUUGACCUCGGAUCAGGUAGGAAUACCCGCUGAACUUAAGCAUAUCAAUAAGCGGAGGA
RNAcentral lists this unclassified non-coding RNA (363 nucleotides) under soil metagenome. RNAcentral's name for it is "partial contains 5.8S ribosomal RNA, internal transcribed spacer 2, and large subunit ribosomal RNA". The stretch from base 1 to 120 matches the Rfam family "5.8S ribosomal RNA", at positions 35 to 154 of the family's 154-position model. The record is from RNAcentral.